RNAcentral lists this ribosomal RNA (780 nucleotides) under Apilactobacillus kunkeei. Its description in RNAcentral is "bacterial SSU rRNA". It matches the Rfam family "Bacterial small subunit ribosomal RNA", at positions 55 to 792 of the family's 1533-position model. Lineage: Bacteria; Bacillati; Bacillota; Bacilli; Lactobacillales; Lactobacillaceae. The record is from RNAcentral.
AUGCAGUCGAACGAGCUCUCCCAAAUUGAUUUUAUGCUUGCAUAAAUGAUUUUUGGACCCCUUAAAGAGUGGCGAACUGGUGAGUAACACGUGGGUAACCUGCCCCGAAGCGGGGGAUAACAUUUGGAAACAAGUGCUAAUACCGCAUAAUUAGUUGGAACCGCAUGGUUCCAACUUGAAAGAUGGCUCUGCUAUCACUUUGGGAUGGACCCGCGCCGUAUUAGUUAGUUGGUGAGAUAAAAGCCCACCAAGACGAUGAUACGUAGCCGACCUGAGAGGGUAAUCGGCCACAUUGGGACUGAGACACGGCCCANACUCCUACGGGAGGCAGCAGUAGGGAAUCUUCCACAAUGGACGAAAGUCUGAUGGAGCAACGCCGCGUGAGUGAUGAAGGUUUUCGGAUCGUAAAACUCUGUUGUUAAAGAAGAACAAGUGUUAGAGUAACUGUUAACACUUUGACGGUAUUUAACCAGAAAGCCACGGCUAACUACGUGCCAGCAGCCGCGGUAAUACGUAGGUGGCAAGCGUUGUCCGGAUUUAUUGGGCGUAAAGCGAGCGCAGGCGGUUUUGUAAGUCUGCUGUGAAAGCCCUCAGCUCAACUGAGGAAGUGCAGUGGAAACUACAAAACUUGANUACAGAAGAGGAAAGUGGAACUCCAUGUGUAGCGGUGAAAUGCGUAGAUAUAUGGAAGAACACCAGUGGCGAAGGCGGCUUUCUGGUCUGUUACUGACGCUGAGGCUCGAAAGCAUGGGUAGCGAACAGGAUUAGAUACCCCUGGUA